AGAGACGAGUCAGAGUUUGAUCCUGGCUCAGGACGAACGCUGGCGGCGUGCCUAAUACAUGCAAGUCGAACGCACUGACAGAGAAACUUGUUUCUCUUGACGUGAGUGGCGCACGGGUGAGUAACACGUGGGAAACCUACCCUUCAGCGGGGGAUAACCGUCGGAAACGAUGGCUAAUACCGCAUAGGUCUUUAACCGCCUGGUUGAAAGAGGAAAGACGGCUUCGGCUGUCACUGAAGGAUGGUCCCGCGGUGCAUUAGCUAGUUGGUAAGGUAACGGCUUACCAAGGCGAUGAUGCAUAGCCGACCUGAGAGGGUGAUCGGCCACAUUGGGACUGAGACACGGCCCAA
RNAcentral lists this ribosomal RNA (350 nucleotides) under uncultured bacterium. Its description in RNAcentral is "bacterial SSU rRNA". It matches the Rfam family "Bacterial small subunit ribosomal RNA", at positions 1 to 334 of the family's 1533-position model. The record is from RNAcentral.